CACGUAGGGCGCAAGCGUUGUCCGGAAUUAUUGGGCGUAAAGAGCUCGUAGGCGGACUGUUGCGUCCGCUGUGAAAAGCUGGGGCUUAACCCUGGCCUUGCAGUGGAUACGGGCAGACUAGAGGUAGGUAGGGGAGAAUGGAAUUCCUGGUUUAGCGGUGAAAUGCGCAGAUAUCAGGAAGAACACCCGUGGCGAAGGCGGCUCUCUGGGACGGUACUGACGCUGAGACGCGAAAGCGUGGGGAGCGAACAGG
Molecule: ribosomal RNA, 253 nt
Filed under: uncultured bacterium
Lineage: Bacteria
Description: partial 16S ribosomal RNA
Rfam family: Bacterial small subunit ribosomal RNA
Source: RNAcentral